This is a long non-coding RNA of Balaenoptera ricei (Rice's whale), 484 nucleotides long. RefSeq lists it as uncharacterized. The record is from RefSeq and is a predicted model, not a curated record. The transcript has 4 exons. Lineage: Eukaryota; Metazoa; Chordata; Mammalia; Artiodactyla; Balaenopteridae.
UCACUCACUGGUCCUGGCUCCUAAAUAACUCAGCAGAAACGAGUUUCCAACUAAAAAUCCCCUCGAAUGUCUCCCAGGGAAGAAAUAUAGCUCCUAUAAUUAAAGGAGGCAACGGCCAGAGGGGGAAUGCAGCCGGCAGCCAAAAAAAAAAAAAUUCAGUUUUGAGGAAUUUUCACCCAGAGGAAUCCAAGACAGCAAGCAGCAAUUACUGGGGAGGUAGAUGAUGGGUGGUGCAGAGGCAGUAUAACUAGGUGAACAUUUUGGAAGGACAGUAACAAGGUGACCUGACAGCCUGUGAUAUGCUGGCUUGCUCAAGAGAUGAAAUUAAGCACAUCUAAAGGAAUGGAUGGAGCUGAGGAUAUGGUGAUUAACGAGACAGAUGUGGUCACUGACUUCAAGGAACACACAACAUAAUAGGGAAGUAGACACCAAACAAGUAACUUUACAAAUAAUUGCUGGUUUACAAAUAAAUAAUAUGUGAUGA